Rhinopithecus roxellana (golden snub-nosed monkey) is the source of this 459-nucleotide long non-coding RNA. RefSeq lists it as uncharacterized. The transcript is spliced from 4 exons. NCBI's taxonomy places the organism in Eukaryota, Metazoa, Chordata, Mammalia, Primates, Cercopithecidae. The record is from RefSeq and is a predicted model, not a curated record.
CAGGAAAUGACCAGAACUGCCAGCCUGCGCCUUUGCAGCCGGCUCUCGCUUUACUGAGGACGAGCAGCUCCCACCAAAGUCUUGCCUCCCCCUACCCCGAAAGCCCCGCUCAGUUCAAUAUUUCAAGUGAAAAUUUGCCUGUUCAAAAAGAAAAUAUUCACAAAUGAGCAGUGUGUUAGAAGACAACUGAAUUGCUUCUAGGAAUGGGUCUCACUGUGCCAUCACCCAGGCUGGAGUGUGGUGGCACCAUCAUGGUUCACUGCAGCCUUGAACUCCUGAGCUCAAGUGAUCCUCCCACCUCAACCUCCCGAGUAGUUGGAACUGCAGCUCUCACCAUGUGACGUGACUGCUCCCAUUUCUCCUUCUACCAUGAUUGGAAGAUUCCUGAGGCCCUCACCGAAGCCUAGCAGAUGCUGGUGCCAUGCUUGUACAGCCUUUAGAAACAUGAGCCAAUUAAAG